CUAGCAAGUCCGACCUUACAAAAAGAAUUUAGCAAGAUCCCCCGAAACCAGGCGAGCUACCUAAAGGCAAUGUGUACGAACUAACCCCUCUCUGUGGCAAAAGAGUGGGAAGACCUUUAGGUAGAGGCAAUAAACCUAACGAGCCCGGAUAUAGCUGGUUGCUUGAGAAAGAAUUUAAGUUCAAAUAAAAGCAAAUAUAUCAGCAAGGAAAAAAUAAGCUUUUAUUAUAAUCAAUCGAGUUACAGCUCGAUUAAUAAAGGAAACAACCUAAAUAAAUGAAUAAAGAUUAUAAUAUUUAAGAAAAUGAGUCCGGUAGGCCUAAAAGCAGCCACCUAAACAGCGUCAAAGCUUAACUCAAAAUACAUCAACCAUCUCAACAAAAAAUCUAAACUCAACAAAAUAAUCAAGCCAAUCUAUUUAUAGAUGAACUACUACUAGAAUGAGUAAUAAGGACACAUCCUCUACAAUACAAAUGUAAAUCAGAACGAAAAACCACUGAUAAUUAAUGAAUAUAUUUAUCAAAACAAGAACCUAAUAACUAAAAUCAUUAACCCAACACAGGAGUAUUCAAGAAAGACUUAAAACUUAGAAAGGAACUCGGCAAACC
This 607-nucleotide ribosomal RNA is filed under the name Pseudoeurycea mystax. RNAcentral describes it as "partial 16S ribosomal RNA". The stretch from base 41 to 158 matches the Rfam family "Bacterial large subunit ribosomal RNA", at positions 714 to 852 of the family's 2925-position model. Lineage: Eukaryota; Metazoa; Chordata; Amphibia; Caudata; Plethodontidae. The record is from RNAcentral.